CAGAGGAUAGUUUAAUUAAAAUUUUAAUUUUGGAGAUUAAAGAUAGGAAAAAAUUUCUUCUUCUGA
This 66-nucleotide transfer RNA is filed under the name Ochthebius paradoxus. RNAcentral describes it as "tRNA-Pro". Lineage: Eukaryota; Metazoa; Arthropoda; Insecta; Coleoptera; Hydraenidae. The record is from RNAcentral.